ACUAAAAGAGUGCUUCGAAAACUGGAAAACUUGUUGUAAAAGAGGAAAGUGAAACUCCAUGUGUAGCGGUGGAAUGCGUAUAUAUAUGGAAGAACACCAGUGGCGAACGAGGCUUUCUGGUCUGUAACUGACGCUGAGAUUCGAACGUGUGGGUAGCAAACAGGAAUAUAUACCCUGGUACCCCAUGCCGUAAACGAUGAGUGCUAAGUGUUGGAGGGUUUCCGCCCUUCAGUGCUGCAGCUAACGUAUUAACCACUCCGCCUGGGGAGUACGAUCGCAAGAUUGAAACUCAAAAGAAUUGACGGGGCCCCGCACAAGCGGUGGAGCAUGUGGUUUAAUUCUAAGUAACGCAAAGAACCUUACCAGGUCUUGACAUACCAUGAAAAGCUUAAAGAUAACCCUUUCCCUUCACGGACAUGGAUACAGGCGGUGCAUGGUUGUCGUCCCCUCGUGCCAUGAGAUGUUGGGUUAAGUCCCGCAACGAGCGCAACCCUUAUUAUCAGUUGCCGGCUUUCAGUUGGGUACUCUGGUGAGACUGCCGGUGAUAAACCGGAGGAAGGUGGGGACGACGUCAUAUCAUCAUGCCUCUUAUGACCUGUGCUACACCCGUGCUACAAUGGUCGAUACUACG
This 631-nucleotide ribosomal RNA is filed under the name uncultured bacterium. RNAcentral describes it as "bacterial SSU rRNA". It matches the Rfam family "Bacterial small subunit ribosomal RNA", at positions 612 to 1244 of the family's 1533-position model. The record is from RNAcentral.